UACGGAGGGUGCAAGCGUUAUCCGGAUUCACUGGGUUUAAAGGGUGCGUAGGUGGGCAGGUAAGUCAGUGGUGAAAUCUCCGGGCUCAACCCGGAAACUGCCAUUGAUACUAUCAGUCUUGAAUAUCGUGGAGGUAAGCGGAAUAUGUCAUGUAGCGGUGAAAUGCUUAGAUAUGACAUAGAACACCAAUUGCGAAGGCAGCUUACUACCCGAAUAUUGACACUGAGGCACGAAAGCGUGGGGAGCAAACAGG
RNAcentral lists this ribosomal RNA (253 nucleotides) under uncultured bacterium. RNAcentral's name for it is "partial 16S ribosomal RNA". It matches the Rfam family "Bacterial small subunit ribosomal RNA", at positions 524 to 776 of the family's 1533-position model. The record is from RNAcentral.